RNAcentral lists this ribosomal RNA (441 nucleotides) under uncultured bacterium. Its description in RNAcentral is "partial 16S ribosomal RNA". It matches the Rfam family "Bacterial small subunit ribosomal RNA", at positions 338 to 795 of the family's 1533-position model. The record is from RNAcentral.
CCUACGGGAGGCAGCAGUGGGGAAUAUUGCACAAUGGGGGCAACCCUGAUGCAGCGACGCCGCGUGAGCGAGGAAGUAUUUCGGUGUGUAAAACUCUAUCAGCAGGGACGAAAAAAGACGGUACCGGACUAAGAAGCCCCGGCUAACUACGUGCCAGCAGCCGCGGUAAUACGUAGGGGGCAAGCGUUAUCCGGAUUUUCUGGGUGUAAAGGGAGCGUAGACGGCAAGGCAAGCCAGAAGUGAAAGGGUAGGGCUCAACCCUGUACAUGCUUUUGGAACUGUGGUGCUAGAGUGCAGGAGAGGUAAGUGGAAUUCCUAGUGUAGCGGUGAAAUGCGUAGAUAUUAGGAGGAACACCAGUGGCGAAGGCGGCUUACUGGACUGUAACUGACGUUGAGGCUCGAAAGCGUGGGGAGCAAACAGGAUUAGAUACCCGAGUAGUC